GUGAAGUUAACUCCCGUGGAAUGGGAGAUGAUAAUAAAGGAGGGCGUGAGACUAUGUGACAGCACGUUUCAUGAUUGGAAUGAUGGAGGUAGCAAAGUUCAAAGCUCAACCAAAAUUCCCCCAUCAUUUAUUUAUUUUUCUAUUCGCUUUCGAUUUCCAAUCCAAACGACAAAGAAUGUUGGGUGCGUCGUGCGUAAAUGCCGCGAGUAAUUGAAACUUCCGCCUAACACAUCAUUGCCAGCAACCCCAUUUGAUCCAGAGGAGGAACCUCUGUCUUGGGUUACUCCGCGUUCUUUCAAAUUCUGGAAAUCGAUUCUUUUCAUGAUCACAGAAGCUCAGCUGGUUUUUUAUCCAAAAACGUCCCAACCCUUUUCUCCCAUUUCUGUUUCUCUCGUUUUUCUCUUAGAUUCAACUUUUGUUCUUCUCUUAUCUCACGUGUACGCACGUUGUUUCGUUGAAAAAAGAAAAAAAAAAAAAAUCGACCCCAAAAGAAGGGGUGUUUCUGGUUUCUUGAAUCAUCUUUUGAAUUGGGUUUUGAUUUUUAGAGGAUUCUCCGAGUUGGGUGGAUCGUUCACCGGACUCGGUAUGGCCACGCCGAAGAAACCCAAAAGACUUUACCAAGUUUGGAGGGGAAGUAAUAGAUUUUUCUGUGGUGGGAGAUUGAUAUUUGGGCCUGACGUAUCAUCUCUGUUUCUCUCCAUAUGUCUUAUUGUUGUACCUGCUGUUGCUUUCUGCGUAAAGAUAGUUUUGAAGAUUCAUGAUGAGAAACCUCCUGGGAACACUCAUUGGUAUCCUGUAUUAUUUGGUGGUCUCAGUCUCACUAUUCUGGAUUUGACGUUUCUCUUAUUGACUUCCAGUAGAGAUCCUGGAAUACUGCCUCGAAAUUCAAGGCCUCUUGAGUCAGAUGAAUCAGAUGACAUGGCUACACCGUCCAUGGAAUGGAUCAAUGGAAGAACCCCACAUCUGAAAAUCCCUCGGACUAAAGACGUGACUAUAAAUGGUCAUAUAGUAAAAGUCAAGUACUGCGACACUUGUCUGUUUUAUCGGCCUCCUCGUGCAUCUCAUUGUUCCAUAUGCAACAAUUGUGUUCAGAGAUUUGAUCAUCACUGUCCAUGGGUUGGGCAGUGCAUUGGAAUACGUAAUUAUCGGUUCUUCUUCAUGUUCAUAACAACCUCAACUAUCUUGUGUGUAUAUGUGUUGUCAUUUUCGUUGUCCAUUCUUGUUCAUUAUCAAGAAACCUUUUUCAAGGCUGUAUCCAAAGAUAUCCUUUCAGAUAUUCUAGUAGUGUAUUGCUUCAUCGCCUUUUGGUUCGUUGGUGGCCUCACCAUAUUCCAUUCCUAUCUUGUUUGUACAAACCAGACCACCUACGAGAAUUUCCGGUAUCGGUAUGACAAGAAGGAGAAUCCAUAUAACAGGGGAAUGGUAAAGAACAUUAGAGAAGUAUUUUUCACAAAGAUACCACUUUCAUCAAAUAAGUUCCGAUCUGUUGUCGAGGAUGAUCACAUGAUGGUGGCCGUUACUCCUAAUCUUGAAGAAGGUGUUCUUAGCUCAAAGGAGAAAAUUGACUUUGAAAGGGGAACUAGAUUUAUGGAGGAUGAGGCCUUCCCAAUCCCUGAGAUAUUGAGGAGGUUGGAAUAUGAUGACGAUCUGGACGAUGAUUUGAAGACUGUAGAAGGAGAAAGACCUCAUGUUGAUCCACUAUUUCCUCUGGACCAAGAAGUAGAAGAAUUUGCAAAAAGUGCUAGUGAUCGAAUACCUGACCCCCAGCUAGUAUUAUCAAUGGAAAAUAGUGAUGCAGUAGCCGUAGAAAAUUUCAUCCUUAAUGGGGUGAACACAGAUGGGACCAAGGAUGCACACGACUCAUCUCAGGUUAAAGCUUCAAAGUUUUAGGCGUAAAGUCUCUUGUUCAGUUACCUUUUGACAAAACUGAAGCCAACAACACAAGUUCAGAUCAUUUUGUUACAUUUCUAUGGAGGCAGAGAAGCAGCAAUGCUUGCUGUUUUCAUUAGAAGCAGUGAGAAAUGGCUUAAGAAAGAUUGUGUUGUACAUUAGGUAAACCAAAGGUGUAGAGGUUUAAUGAAUGUUGAUGAAGAAGCACAUCAAAAGCUUUAUUAUUGUGGUGGAUGAGGAAUUUUCUGUUUCUCUUUGUUAAAAAAGUGUUGUUGGUUGCUUUGCAUUUUCAUGUAUCUAAAAGUGCUUAAAAAUAAAGCUCAAAUUUCACAUGCCAUAAUCAGGUUUUCUUGA
RNA transcript from Benincasa hispida (wax gourd), 2244 nucleotides. It is a transcript of the gene named putative protein S-acyltransferase 4, with no coding region annotated. The record is from RefSeq and is a predicted model, not a curated record. Lineage: Eukaryota; Viridiplantae; Streptophyta; Magnoliopsida; Cucurbitales; Cucurbitaceae.